This 88-nucleotide transfer RNA is filed under the name Cystobacter fuscus. RNAcentral describes it as "tRNA-Ser". It matches the Rfam family "tRNA". Rfam says of the family: Transfer RNA (tRNA) molecules are approximately 80 nucleotides in length. Their secondary structure includes four short double-helical elements and three loops (D, anti-codon, and T loops). Further hydrogen bonds mediate the characteristic L-shaped molecular structure. tRNAs have two regions of fundamental functional importance: the anti-codon, which is responsible for specific mRNA codon recognition, and the 3' end, to which the tRNAs corresponding amino acid is attached (by aminoacyl-tRNA synthetases). tRNAs cope with the degeneracy of the genetic code in two manners: having more than one tRNA (with a specific anti-codon) for a particular amino acid; and 'wobble' base-pairing, i.e. permitting non-standard base-pairing at the 3rd anti-codon position. Lineage: Bacteria; Pseudomonadati; Myxococcota; Myxococcia; Myxococcales; Archangiaceae. The record is from RNAcentral. RNAcentral also lists the same sequence under 1 other name.
GGAGAGCUGGCCGAGUGGUCGAAGGCACCUGACUCGAAAUCAGGCAUACCGGGAACGGUAUCGUAGGUUCGAAUCCUACGCUCUCCGC